Molecule: ribosomal RNA, 497 nt
Filed under: uncultured bacterium
Lineage: Bacteria
Description: partial 16S ribosomal RNA
Rfam family: Bacterial small subunit ribosomal RNA
Source: RNAcentral
GAUGAGCGCUGGCGGCGUGCCUAAUACAUGCGAGUCGAGCGAACGGACGAGAAGCUUGCUUCUCUGAUGUUAGCGGCGGACGGGUGAGUAACACGUGGAUAACCUACCUAUAAGACUGGGAUAACUUCGGGAAACCGGAGCUAAUACCGGAUAAUAUUUUGAACCGCAUGGUUCAAAAGUGAAAGACGGUCUUGCUGUCACUUAUAGAUGGAUCCGCGCUGCAUUAGCUAGUUGGUAAGGUAACGGCUUACCAAGGCAACGAUGCAUAGCCGACCUGAGAGGGUGAUCGGCCACACUGGAACUGAGACACGGUCCAGACUCCUACGGGAGGCAGCAGUAGGGAAUCUUCCGCAAUGGGCGAAAGCCUGACGGAGCAACGCCGCGUGAGUGAUGAAGGUCUUCGGAUCGUAAAACUCUGUUAUUAGGGAAGAACAUAUGUGUAAGUAACUGUGCACAUCUUGACGGUACCUAAUCAGAAAGCCACGGCUAACUACGUG